This 554-nucleotide ribosomal RNA is filed under the name Haliotis iris (paua abalone). RNAcentral describes it as "partial 16S ribosomal RNA". It matches the Rfam family "Bacterial large subunit ribosomal RNA", at positions 1806 to 2608 of the family's 2925-position model. Lineage: Eukaryota; Metazoa; Mollusca; Gastropoda; Lepetellida; Haliotidae. The record is from RNAcentral.
AACAAAAACAUCGCUCCUUGGUGCAGAUUUGAAUAAGGAGUCGGACCUGCCCGGUGACCUACGGGUUAAACGGCCGCGGUACACUGACCGUGCAAAGUAGCACAAUCACUUGCCUUUUAAUUGGAGGCUGGUAUGAAUGGUUUGACGAGGGCUGAGCUGUCUCUCCUUGAAUAUUUAAAAAUUAACUUCUAGGUGAAAAGGCCUAGAUUAAGCUGAGGGACGAGAAGACCCUGUUGAGCUUUAGUGUGGAGUGGAGUGGUUGUUCCUAUUGUGAUAGAGGACUUUAGGUUUGUUCUUACAUCUUUAGUUGGGGUGACUAGGGAACAUAGAAAGCUUCUCUGUUGAUUUUGUGGAUUUUUAGUUUACUGACGAAUGAUCCAGCAUUGUUGAUUAUCGGAAAAAGUUACCACAGGGAUAACAGCGUAAUCUUUCUGGAGAGUUCACAUUGAAAGAAGGGUUUGCGAGCUCGAUGUUGGAAUAAGGUGUCCUGAGGGUGUAGCAGCUUUCAUUGAGGUUGGGUCUGUUCCGACCAUUAAAACCUUUACGUGAUCUGG